Molecule: small RNA, 1591 nt
Filed under: Pseudomonas fluorescens
Lineage: Bacteria; Pseudomonadati; Pseudomonadota; Gammaproteobacteria; Pseudomonadales; Pseudomonadaceae
Description: bacterial LSU rRNA
Rfam family: Bacterial small subunit ribosomal RNA (bases 1-617)
Source: RNAcentral
GGGCCCGCACAAGCGGUGGAGCAUGUGGUUUAAUUCGAAGCAACGCGAAGAACCUUACCAGGCCUUGACAUCCAAUGAACUUUCCAGAGAUGGAUUGGUGCCUUCGGGAACAUUGAGACAGGUGCUGCAUGGCUGUCGUCAGCUCGUGUCGUGAGAUGUUGGGUUAAGUCCCGUAACGAGCGCAACCCUUGUCCUUAGUUACCAGCACGUUAUGGUGGGCACUCUAAGGAGACUGCCGGUGACAAACCGGAGGAAGGUGGGGAUGACGUCAAGUCAUCAUGGCCCUUACGGCCUGGGCUACACACGUGCUACAAUGGUCGGUACAGAGGGUUGCCAAGCCGCGAGGUGGAGCUAAUCCCACAAAACCGAUCGUAGUCCGGAUCGCAGUCUGCAACUCGACUGCGUGAAGUCGGAAUCGCUAGUAAUCGCGAAUCAGAAUGUCGCGGUGAAUACGUUCCCGGGCCUUGUACACACCGCCCGUCACACCAUGGGAGUGGGUUGCACCAGAAGUAGCUAGUCUAACCUUCGGGGGGACGGUUACCACGGUGUGAUUCAUGACUGGGGUGAAGUCGUAACAAGGUAGCCGUAGGGGAACCUGCGGCUGGAUCACCUCCUUAAUCGACGACCGCAGCUGCUUCAUGAGCUCCCACACGAAUUGCUUGAUUCAUUGAAGAAGACGAAAGAAGCAGCCCGAAAUUGGGUCUGUAGCUCAGUUGGUUAGAGCGCACCCCUGAUAAGGGUGAGGUCGGCAGUUCGAAUCUGCCCAGACCCACCAAUUUUGUGUGGGAAACGCCUGUAGAAAUACGGGGCCAUAGCUCAGCUGGGAGAGCGCCUGCCUUGCACGCAGGAGGUCAGCGGUUCGAUCCCGCUUGGCUCCACCACUACUGCUUCGAUUGUAUAAAGCUUAGAAAUGAGCAUUCCAUCAAGGUGAUGGUGAAUGUUGAUUUCUAGUCUUUGACUAGUUCGUUCUUUAAAAAUUUGGGUAUGUGAUAGAAAGAUAGACUGAACGUUACUUUCACUGGUAACGGAUCAGGCUAAGGUAAAAUUUGUGAGUUCUCUUAGUUGAGAAAUUCGAAUUUUCGGCGAAUGUCGUCUUCACAGUAUAACCAGAUUGCUUGGGGUUAUAUGGUCAAGUGAAGAAGCGCAUACGGUGGAUGCCUUGGCAGUCAGAGGCGAUGAAAGACGUGGUAGCCUGCGAAAAGCUUCGGGGAGUCGGCAAACAGACUUUGAUCCGGAGAUGUCUGAAUGGGGGAACCCAGCCAUCAUAAGAUGGUUAUCUUGUACUGAAUACAUAGGUGCAAGAGGCGAACCAGGGGAACUGAAACAUCUAAGUACCCUGAGGAAAAGAAAUCAACCGAGAUUCCCUUAGUAGUGGCGAGCGAACGGGGACUAGCCCUUAAGCUUCUUUGAUUUUAGCGGAACGCUCUGGAAAGUGCGGCCAUAGUGGGUGAUAGCCCUGUACGCGAAAGGAUCUUAGAAGUGAAAUCGAGUAGGACGGAGCACGAGAAACUUUGUCUGAAUAUGGGGGGACCAUCCUCCAAGGCUAAAUACUACUGACUGACCGAUAGUGAACUAGUACCGUGAGGGAAAG